RNAcentral lists this long non-coding RNA (1779 nucleotides) under Carassius auratus (goldfish). Its description in RNAcentral is "lncRNA (ENSCARG00000004693.1)". The record is from RNAcentral. Lineage: Eukaryota; Metazoa; Chordata; Actinopteri; Cypriniformes; Cyprinidae.
AAAUUACGACAACACAAUGGAAACAAGCCACUACAUAAUGAAAUUAGUGCAACACAACAAACUUAGCACAACACAAUGAAAUUGUUGUUGUAUAAUGUGUUGUGGCGAAUUCACUGUGUUGUGGAGAUUUUGUUGUGUUGUGCACUACUGGGCCACCAUAGUGAAGCUGCUUUGAAAUGUGUAUAAAGGCUAAAGGACUGCUAAAUCAUGACAAGCCAGGUUUUACAAUGUUUUAUUAUUAGGGAUGUGUCGCAGCUCUUGGCAGAGCUGGAUGGUUUUCAUUUAUCUGGAGACAUCUCUGUGAUCGGAGCAACUAAUCGCCCAGAUCUACUGGACCAAUCAUUGCUCAGGCCUGGCAGGUAAGUACAUUCAGAUUCAGUUGGAAUUUUUUUUCUUUCCAGAUUUGAGUUUGUGUAUGUGGGUGUGUAUGAAGACAGAGUCUCAGCCGCAGGCUCUGAAGACGAGCUUGUGCAGGUGAGUGUGUUCAUCAUCAAUCUCCUCUCUCUUUUCUCUCUCUCUCUGCUAAAUGACUAAAUCUAAAUCUCAGUGCUGGAGUGUGCUUGCUGCUGACUCUCUGCUGCUCUUCUGCUUGCAGGUUUAAGGUGGAUCCCAGCGUGUGUCUGUCAGACACCAUGGAGUCCUGUCCUCCUCAGCUGACCGGAGCUGAUCUCAAAGCACUCUGCUUGGAUGCCAUGAUGUGCGCCAUCAAGAGGAAGAUUUCACGAAUGACUGGAGUGUCUUUUUCUCUCUGUGAGGGGCGGUAUGGUGCUGCUCGAGACUCUUAUGAGCCGGUGAAGCCCCCGGUGAGAGAGCACACACCCGGGAGGAGGAUAUUACCGCCCAUACUGCAGAGGAUAGCCGUGUGAGAGAGCAGGGGAAGCCUGGCACUGCAUUGCAGAUCAACAAAGGAGAGACAGGAGGAGACUGCAGCAGUCUGCAGCGGGAUUCCCUCGUCUGUGUGUGUGAAAGACACCCAGCCCUCACUGGAUCAUCUUCUUCAUACCAGGUGCAUCAUAAGUGACUAGAAUAAAUGCUUCAUAGUAGAUCUUCUGAUGCAGAAGAAACUGUUGUGCUGCUGCAAUCCUUCAUGCAGAGCAACAUGUGUUAUUUGUUGCUGAAUAUUUAACGAUACAUGAUGAAUGAAAAGUGGCAUCAACCGUGAGCAAUGUGCAGGCUAAAUCACAAUUAUAAUCUAGAUAUCGUAUAGAACGAAUAAUCAAAUAUAAAUAUUGUAUAUAUUAUAAUAUAUAUAAUAUACUUUGUCAGUCACCAAUGAGUUUGAUUGUGUGUUUACUGGUAUUCUCUGUAUAGGGACUAAAUGUCCCCACAAGGAUAGUAAUACCAGUCAUUUUGGACCUUGCAGAGACAUAUUUUAUUUAUUUUCUUGUCCCCGUGAGAAAAACAGUUUGUACAUCAUACAGUUUAUACAGUAUUAAAAAUCUACCACUCACUUACGAAAACUGACCAUUGUUUUAGUAUAAAUACCCCAGCCCCCACCCACCUAAAAAAAAAAAAAAAAAACCUAACAAACAUUGUUACUGUAGUUAAACCAUGGUACACACAAAUUAACCAUGGGUUUGAUACACAAACCAUAGUGUAACCUUUGUAUUUGUAGUAGAAUUGUAGUAAGACAAAUGGUAAUCAAUACACCAAAAAUUACGGUUACUACACUUUUACAACAAUAAAACCAUGAUUAAUUGUGUGUGUGUGUGUGUUCACGCACUUGAAUGGGUUAAAAUGCAGAGCCCAGACUCCAAAAAUGAGACACCAUACUUGGCC